AGUUGCACAAUCAAAUGAAGGAAAAUUAUGAGAAGAGUUAAUUAAAAUAAGUAAAAUUUGUGGUUGAGGUAAUUUGCAUAAAAUGUUUAAAAUUUAUCCACAGUUCCUCCCGUCCUGUCUGUCACUCAUCAGUACUAUCUGAUCCAGCAGGGGAAAACCUGGAGUGAUGCUCAGGCUUACUGCAGAGCCACACACACUGACCUGGCUAUCAUCGACAGUAAUGACAACAUGGUCCGACUUCAGAAUGAAGCACAGAGACAACAAUUAGUUCCAGUGCUUGGAUUGGACUCUACAAUCCCAUCAACAGCUGGCGCUGGUCCAUGGGGAAUAAACCACUGGGAAGCAGUGUUCAGAUGGAGAUGGAAAAUGGAGUUCAGGUCAACACACAACUUUGGUGGAAAUGAGGAGUGUGGUGCGAUUGCUCCCUGGGGUUGGGCGAUUGUGCCCUGUACUUGGUCAAUCCCUGCUGUCUGUUUUUUGAUGGCAGUUAUACUGGACAUCAGAGCUACAUUUAUAUUUCUACUACUAUGACAUGGCUUGAAGCUCAGACUUACUGUAGUCAGCAUCACACAGACUUGUCAAGCUCAAGAGAUGUAAAUGAAGACUCAGUUAUAAAGGGACUGGUCUCAGGCUGGACUUUAAUUGGUCUGUUCAGAGACUCCUGGAAGGUGACAGACCAAACCAAAUUUCUCUACCGUCAGCUGGAUGACUGAUCUGAUCAUGCCCUGAAGAAUGAAAACUGUGGUUAUAUAAAUAACAGUCAGGCUGUUGAUGCUCUGUGCUCAGACAUAAUGCCUUUCUUCUGUUACUCAGAUGUCACAGGAAAACAACAAACACUAAGAGUGAAGGUCCGAUCCAAAGAGGAUGUGAAUGAUCCUGCAGUGAUGAAGUCCAUCUUGGAGCAGGUGGGUCUCAACCUCCACAAGACUUAUAAUGUACAUUUCCCAGUAUUCAUCAAACUCUUACACAUAUAAACUGUAUUGUAAUCAGAUUCUGACUGUUGUAUACAGUUUCUGUAUCAUUUCCUACAGGUGAGUCUCUAUCCUGCAUUAUUU
This is a long non-coding RNA of Tachysurus vachellii, 1055 nucleotides long. RefSeq lists it as uncharacterized. The transcript is spliced from 3 exons. The record is from RefSeq and is a predicted model, not a curated record. Lineage: Eukaryota; Metazoa; Chordata; Actinopteri; Siluriformes; Bagridae.